This 494-nucleotide ribosomal RNA is filed under the name uncultured bacterium. RNAcentral describes it as "partial 16S ribosomal RNA". It matches the Rfam family "Bacterial small subunit ribosomal RNA", at positions 28 to 507 of the family's 1533-position model. The record is from RNAcentral.
GACGAACGCUGGCGGCGUGCUUAACACAUGCAAGUCGAACGGUGAAGCGCCUUCCUUUUUGGUGGGUGUGGAUGAGUGGCGAACGGGUGAGUAACACGUGAGUAACCUGCCCCCUUCUUCUGGAUAACCGCAUGAAAGUGUGGCUAAUACGGGAUAUUCUGGGUCUGUCGCAUGAUGGGUCUGGGAAAGAUAUUGUUUCGGUGGGGGAUGGGCUCGCGGCCUAUCAGCUUGUUGGUGGGGUGAUGGCCUACCAAGGCGGUGACGGGUAGCCGGCCUGAGAGGGUGGACGGGCACACUGGGACUGGGACACGGCCCAGACUCCUACGGGAGGCAGCAGGGGGGAAUAUUGCACAAUGGGCGCAAGGCUGAUGCAGCGACGCCGCGUGAGGGAUGGAGGCCUUCGGGUUGUGAACCUCUUUCGCCAGUGAAGCAGGCCUGCCUCGUUUGUGGGUGGGUUGACGGUAGCUGGAGAAGAAGCGCCGGCUAACUACGUG